AUUUUUUAGAUAAUGAAAGAUUUUAUGGGGAAAUGAAAAAACAUAUAUAGAAGAUCCUUGGGGGUUCGUGAGAGCUAACGUAAGCCCAGAUUACGCUUUGAAGAUUUUCUGAGCAACAUGCACAGAUUCUCUCUUUUUUCGGUUUGGGUGAAACUUUAAUAUAUUAUAACGAGUGUUUUAAAAAAAAUUAUAUUCGUACAAAUUUAACGAGUUUGUG
Long non-coding RNA from Arabidopsis thaliana (thale cress), 217 nucleotides. RefSeq annotates it as other RNA. NCBI's taxonomy places the organism in Eukaryota, Viridiplantae, Streptophyta, Magnoliopsida, Brassicales, Brassicaceae. The record is from RefSeq. The transcript has a single exon.